CCUACGGGUGGCAGCAGUGAGGAAUAUUGGUCAAUGGACGAGAGUCUGAACCAGCCAAGUAGCGUGAAGGAUGACUGCCCUAUGGGUUGUAAACCUCUUUUAUAUGGGAAUAAAAUGUUCCACGUGUGGGAUUUUGUAUGUACCAUAUGAAUAAGGAUCGGCUAACUCCGUGCCAGCAGCCGCGGUAAUACGGAGGAUCCGAGCGUUAUCCGGAUUUAUUGGGUUUAAAGGGAGCGUAGGUGGAUUGUUAAGUCAGUUGUGAAAGUUUGCGGCUCAACCGUAAAAUUGCAGUUGAAACUGGCAGUCUUGAGUACAGUAGAGGUGGGCGGAAUUCGUGGUGUAGCGGUGAAAUGCUUAGAUAUCACGAAGAACUCCGAUUGCGAAGGCAGUUCACUGGACUGCAACUGACACUGAGGCGCGAAAGUGUGGGUAUCAAACAGGAUUAGAUACCCCUGUAGUC
This 460-nucleotide ribosomal RNA is filed under the name uncultured bacterium. RNAcentral's name for it is "partial 16S ribosomal RNA". It matches the Rfam family "Bacterial small subunit ribosomal RNA", at positions 338 to 795 of the family's 1533-position model. The record is from RNAcentral.